CCUACGGUGUGCUGCAGUGGGGGAUAUUGCACAAUGGGGGAAACCCUGAUGCAGCGACGCCGCGUGUGGGAAGACGGUCUUCUGGAUUGUAAACCACUGUCCCCAGGGACGAAAAUGACGGUACCUGGGGAGGAAGCUCCGGCUAACUACGUGCCAGCAGCCGCGGUAAUACGUAGGGAGCAAGCGUUGUCCGGAAUUACUGGGUGUAAAGGGAGCGUAGGCGGGGAUGCAAGUUGGGUGUCAAAACUACCGGCUCAACCGAUAGUCGCACUCAAAACUGCAGCUCUUGAGUGAAGUAGAGGCAGGCGGAAUUCCUAGUGUAGCGGUGAAAUGCGUAGAUAUUAGGAGGAACACCAGUGGCGAAGGCGGCCUGCUGGGCUUUUACUGACGCUGAGGCUCGAAAGUGUGGGGAGCAAACAGGAUUAGAUACCCCUGUAGUC
Molecule: ribosomal RNA, 440 nt
Filed under: uncultured bacterium
Lineage: Bacteria
Description: partial 16S ribosomal RNA
Rfam family: Bacterial small subunit ribosomal RNA
Source: RNAcentral